RNAcentral lists this ribosomal RNA (301 nucleotides) under uncultured bacterium. RNAcentral describes it as "partial 16S ribosomal RNA". It matches the Rfam family "Bacterial small subunit ribosomal RNA", at positions 509 to 807 of the family's 1533-position model. The record is from RNAcentral.
CAGUCGCCGCGGUAAUACGAAGGGUGCAAGCGUUACUCGGAAUUACUGGGCGUAAAGCGUGCGUAGGUGGUGGUUUAAGUCCGUUGUGAAAGCCCUGGGCUCAACCUGGGAAUUGCAGUGGAUACUGGGUCACUAGAGUGUGGUAGAGGAUAGUGGAAUUUCCGGUGUAGCAGUGAAAUGCGUAGAGAUCUGGAGGAAUACCGGUGGCGAAGGCGGCCCCCUGGACAAAGACUGACGCUCAGGUGCGAAAGCGUGGGGAGCAAACAGGAUUAGAUACCCCCGUAGUCCCUGUCUCUUAUAC